GAUGAACGCUAGCGGCAGGCCUAAUACAUGCAAGUCGUACGGCAACACAGUUGCGAGCAAUCGCAACCGGUGGCGAGUGGCGCACGGGUGAGUAACACGUAUGUAACCUACCCUUCUCCGGGACAUAACUCCGCGAAAGCGGUGCUAAUAUCCCAUACCAACUCAUCAAGACAUCUUCUUGAGUUGAAAGCAGCAAUGCGGUGAAGGAUGGGCAUGCGUCCCAUUAGCUGGUUGGUGAGGUAAUGGCCCACCAAGGCUACGAUGGGUAGGGGUUCUGAGAGGAAAGCCCCCCACACUGGUACUGAGACACGGACCAGACUCCUACGGGAGGCAGCAGUAAGGAAUAUUGGGCAAUGGUCGAAAGACUGACCCAGCCAUGCCGCGUGCAGGAUGAAGGCCCUAUGGGUUGUAAACUGCUUUUAGCCGGGAAUAAACACCCGUUUUAUAACGGGCCCGAAGGUACCGGCUGAAUAAGCAUCGGCUAACUCCGUG
This 492-nucleotide ribosomal RNA is filed under the name uncultured bacterium. RNAcentral's name for it is "bacterial SSU rRNA". It matches the Rfam family "Bacterial small subunit ribosomal RNA", at positions 28 to 507 of the family's 1533-position model. The record is from RNAcentral.